This is a long non-coding RNA of Gallus gallus (chicken), 7042 nucleotides long. Lineage: Eukaryota; Metazoa; Chordata; Aves; Galliformes; Phasianidae. The record is from Ensembl.
UUCUAAUCCCUUCUUAGCAUGCACCAUAUACAAAGUGGGACUUUUAAGGUAAGAGGAAAAGCAGGAAUAUUUUAAGAACUGCUGAGUCCCUUGGUAAGCUACUUUCCAAGGAGGUUACCCACCAGCUUUCUGUGAGAUUUUGAUCUUGUUCUCUUGAAUUGAAGAGAGUCCUGUGGUCUUCAGUAGACUAGACAAUAUUGAAUGCCAAGUUUUUACUAGUUUGUCAAGUAUCUCAUUGCUGUUCACUAUCUGCAAUGUUCCUUGGGUUACUGUGAAAGGCCUGGACACCUUUUGUAUUACAAAUUCAACAGAUUUGUGGUAUUUUGUGUACCUACAAGAAUAUGGAGAAGUAAUUGAGUUUGCACAAUAACAUUUGCCUAUGACUAGAGGAAAUUAAGCAGAAUGGAGUCUUGUCUUGUGUAUUCCAGUAGGUACAACUGAAUCCUUGAAAACUUCUAUGUCAGUGAAAUUAAUUUUGUGGGAUCUGUAACUAUAGCUGCUAAGAGUUCCAACUGUACAACUGUAGUAAGGAGAAAAGUAAUCAUUUUAUGAUGUCGUUUCUUAAAUAUAAGAGUGAGAUAUUUUAAUGCAGUCCAGAAAGAUGCACCAACCUACAGCAGCCAGUGAGACAUCAGCUCCACCUACAGCAAAGGCUGUUCCAUAGCUCUCACAGAAACACAACAAACAGGUCCAAAACAUUGGCACUUGCAGUAGUUCCUCUUGCUCAGGAAGAUUACCUUACCGCAAGGAGAUACAAAGAAGCAGUGGAUUAAAGAGGCCUGCAGGGAAUUACUGAGUCCUAUGCAACUUCAUACAGAGGAAUUUUUAACAAUAGAGGCAAAUAACUAUUAGAAAGUACUUUAUUAUGGAAAAUAUGAAAACCGAAUUGACGUAUCUUCUUCCUGAAGCAAUCAGGAUUUUUCAUAUUUCUAUUAUGAACUGAAAACAAGACGUGCAGCCUGCCCAGAAGCAUCCUGAGCCUCAAAUCCCUUAAUCUCUCAAGUGCGAUCUGUGGUGCCAGCUAUGCUGGGGAGGGUAGGAAAUUUCCCAUAAAAGAUUCCCAAUGUCAAUUAAAAAUUCUGCAUUUGCUUCUUAGUUUAUCUGAAACUGAAGAAGGUGGCUCUUUCUUGCAGUCAAAACAUGUCAUAUGCAUAUUCUCACACAGAAAGCAGUGGAGGUUCUGAAGCCUAUCUUAGAGUGUGUUUGAUUUCCUGGCUGCCUUAUUUGUUUACAACAAUGCUCUUAAAAUUGUCUCUACCAUCUGUGUGGUUUCUAGUUGUUUGAAUGAGAAUGAGAUAUUAAAAUGCCAUCCAGAUGUCUCGUUGCAUAUCAGCAUUAACAUAUUAUGCAAAUUGUCACAAGGAUAGGUUUUUUUUCUUCUUAAACAAAACAAUAUUUUUAGAUGGAAUGGAGAGAAAUAAAUCUGUGAAGGAUGACAAGGGAAAAAAUGCGCUGAGCAUAUUCAGCUGAACUUUUCAAUCAUUUUUUAUGAAAGGGUUAGGUACAAAGUGUCCUUAGUUUUUUUACCAUAAAUCUGUAGAAGAACAAUUGGGUGAAAACACGAUAAUAAACCAACAAAGUACCUCUAAACCCAAAUAUCUCAGAAAAUGAAUUCAACAAAGUGAAAUACAAAACUUGCCUCUGUGUAUUUAUCUCACAAGAACAGGACUUUGCGAAGAAUGAUAGCAGUUGUCUGCUGGCUACUAAGCAUCCAAUUUAAAGAAACCUUUGUCUCUUAUUCUGCAGAUAUUUACAUUUGGAGACAGAAUCAACAGUGCAAGGCCAGACCUGUGCCCUCAUUGCUCUCAAAAAUAAGAAGAGAUGUCUGGAAAUUAAAGCAAGUGUCUGAGAUUAUACUGUUUUCUUGCAUCUUGACUCUUACAGCUAAGGACAAACGUGAUGCUGUUGCCUGUGUUUUCCUUAGAACCACAGAACGGCUUGAGUUGGAAGGGACCUCAGUCAUCAUCCAGUUCCACUCCUACACCAUGGGCAGGGUUGCCAACUUACUCAGGCAUCUUUAUGGGCACAGAGCAGCAUAUGCCUCUGCCCUUCACAAUGACUUUCUUCAAGCACUUGAUGAAGACAUAUACCAUUCUGAACCACAUUUGAGGGUGUUUCCAACUAAGCUUGCUGAGGGAUGAAGCUAUAAGGACUCAUUGCCAAGAAAUGCUAGUGGAUACACACCUUCACCCCUCUCGCAGAGAACUAUUGAUGGGCUCACGUGGCUGAGAUAUUUAUGAAGAAACUUCUUGUACAAGACCUUGUCCCUGACGAGCUUUUAAUGAUGAGGAAGCGACUCAACAAUCGAUGCUCAAGAGGUUGAAAUAAGAAAGCCACUCCAGCCACAUAGGAACCAUUGCAGAACUCCAGGGAUGCUUCAUUGCAGCAUGACAAAAGUUAGGAGCGAUGCUGUGGAGCGAUGGGGCUCUGUGGAGGAACAAAGCAAGAAUUCUUGUGCUCACUGCUGUAUUCUCCUUCAACACACACUGAAAAAUAAUGGUGGAAAUAAAAAGAAUAAACCAUUUUGCCGCUGACAUUAUUUACCUCGCUUUAACAUAACACUUAAGGCAAGUCACUGAAGACCAAGUCUACUGAAAGAUCUAAAGUUUACAUCCAGUGAAGUCAAAAGCUACAGGUGCUGGCUCAGGACCUCGUGGCUCAGUCCUACUGUGGUCUCACCCCUCCGGUGAUCAGAGCUCAGUGCCAUUUCACUCCACUCACCUCUUACUUCCAACCUAAUUUGUCUGAGGUGGAGAAACCUCACACUCUCCAGAGAUCGAUUCUCCUCAAACACAGCACACAAAUAAAUAUUUUACAAGCCAUAUAAAUGAAUCACUUUCCAUUUUUCUCUUUCUCAUCUGCUGCAUGAAGGAGAUGCUGGUACCAACCUGCAGCAGUUAGGUCCCGUGCCAGGGGUCAGCAGGCACAGCUCCCCAUGUGCCAGCCUCUGCUCAUCCCUCCUCUUCCCUGGGCUCCCUCCUAGGUUCCAAAAAUAACAUUUGCUACUAUUCAGGUUAGUUUUUGACAUCGUUUUAACUCUUGCUCAGCUGUAAGAAUUGAUUAUUAAAAAUACAUAAUUGCCCGUUUGUCCCAGAAAACACAUUCCUGAGGUCCUAUGCAUCAGUGGUCUGCAGUGACCUCUCUGUUAGUAACAAACUGUGCACUGAAACUACUGAUGUGUGAAACCCUGAGCAGGAGGAAAACUCUACAUGUGGUUACACCCUUUAGCACUUAGUGGUCAGUAGCUAAUACGGUGUGCCUUGAAUGUGGCUGCGGGGAAUUAACACUUGACACAUCAGGAUCCCACUGCAAUAACCCUAUCCUUUUGACUUCAAAGUCGACAGAGGAGUAAUGGUGAGAUCAAAGACUUCCAGCACAAUUACAGGUUUUGAAGUCUGCAGGCCAUAGAAAUGGGAGGCAUUUUCCUUGAUUUGCUCUUGUAGUUUUGUGAACUCCUGAGAUCUUUGAGUCACUGUUCCAACUUUUGAUGCAAACUAAUGUUUGAUGCACAAGGAUCUGAAGAGGUGAAGGAAUUCCAGAUUAAUCUGUGCUGACAGCAUGUGCUCUUUAGCUUCCCAUUGAUUGCUCAGAUACAAUGUAAGGUUUUCCUCUGGAAAAAAAAUCUCCCUCUUACCACCUUAACCAAGGAACUCCUCCAGUCUGACUUCCUUUUACAACCGAGACACCAGUAGUAGUCAGGCACUCAGAAUCAUAGCAUUUCCUGAUACCGUGACAGAUACAUGGUUGUCCAUUUUUCUGGUACAUACGUUUAUCAAAUCCAUUUAUCCUUCUCUAUAUAUGAGCAAUCUUUUCCUCCUGCUCAUCUACUUGCUUUUAUCAAUAUUGGUUGCCUCGCUUCCUCUGCCAAAAGUUAUCUUUCUCCAUGAUGCUCCACGAUGGAUCAUUCCAAUGGAUGUAAUCAAUUGUUUUUAUUGUGAAAUUCAGUAUUUUGUGAGGAAGUAUUUUUAACUUCUUCCCAGACAGCCACUCGUAAGCAGGACAUCAAAAGCACGAGGAAUGCACUGCCCCUUUUACUGCUCUUGAAUGGAAGAGCAGAUGCUGGUUUAAGGUUCAUCUAUGAUAUGGUCUAGAUUUAUACAUGAAAUAAUUGCUCAAUUACCAUGACAACAUGCCUGUGCUCAAUACUCCGAAUGAGCUAUAAAACCUCAAUAGGAAACGAUUAACUCAGGCUUCUCAAUCCAUUUCAGACAGUGCUGCAAGUAAAACCUGGCCAGUCUGCAUUGCACCCUGAGCACCUGCAAAAGCUGGAGAUGGCAAAAAGCACCGUGGAGAUAACCCACUGCGGAGGAACACACUGCACUUCGGACAGCAAGGAAGUGUCAAUGCUGCCAGCACCUCUGCGUGGGGACUCCUGAAAGUCACACUGCAUUACUGCUUCAGUGUGGAAACUCAAUUGCUUAUCCUUUAUGGGAGAUAAUCUUUGAAUGUAGCAGUGUACCGCAUUAACCCCAUUUGUCCACAAGACAGUCAACGUGUCUAUAAAUCCUGUCUAUAUGGGGGGCUACAGUUGGGUGACAUCCUCUUUCUGCACUAUGGAGUCCUUGUAAAACAGGCUUAAUAUAGCAAUAAACCUGUUUAUUUUUGUUACGGUUCUUCCAUCACUCUCUUACUGCUUCUGUUUUCUUUUUGAAAGCACUCGAUUGUACCAUUCUCUGUCUGUUUUCAGCACCAUAAAAUGAAAUUCACCUCAUUGAUCAAACGAUGACCUCUAUCCAGUGCCUCUUAGAUUAGAGAUAACAGCAGGCUGCUGUCUAACUGAGAAAUAAUUCCUUCAGCUCCUUCAGCUCUCUUUAUUAUGAUUGCUUCCUAAAAUAUCACUUAAAACUGGGAUGGAAACAAAUGAGAAUGUCUUCUCUCAAUGUUUGCGUUUUGACUCACCAAUACACACAAACACACACUGCGGUGUGCAUUGUUCUAGAAUAAUUCAUUCAUUUUCCCCCUAGAAGAUGAAGAAAACAUUUAACUGCACAUAACUGAAGGAAGAAAGGAGCAAAAGCGGAUUGACAUAAUGCCUACCUUUUGCCGGAAAGACUUUGUGCUUUAAAACAGGAAAAAAUGGUAGCGGUACAUUCGUGUGAAACUCAAAUUGUGCUACUCAGGAACAGGUUUUUAAAUAUCAGCAUUAAAGAUCGCAUUAGAAUACAUUAUCACAUUCUGUGCCGUAGCAUGUGUUACGUAUUUGUAACAAGGGAAGCAUGAAAGACUAAUCAUACACGGGGAAUAAUGGCAUGUUUUCAUGGCGAGAUUUGCAAGGCAUUAUCCCAGACAUUCCCUUCUGGUGGGGCAGGAAAAGGGAGAUUCUGUUCUGCAUUAUGCUGCUCAGCAUCUGCUGCUGGAUGGGACGCUGUGAAGGUGUUAGGUCUGUGGUGACAUUUAUCCCCAAAUAGGCAUAAAUGUGUGCAUUAUUUCAGCUAUUUCAGGUCUAUUGAUGAGCUGCAGGAGAUCACAGAAUCAUGGAAUCGUUAAGGUUGGCAAAGACCAUUGAGAUCCUCAAGUCUAACCCCAACCCAUCCCCACCAUGCCCACUGACCAUGUCCCUCAGUGCCACAUCAGUACUGGAGCACCUCCAGGGACAGAGACUGCUCCCCAUGCCCUAGGCCCUACCACCCUGGCUAAGCAGUGGGAUUUCAAGGGGACUUGUCUGCCUUCAUGAAGCCUCUCAGCUUCAGCCUGACUGCCCUUCAGUUCUCCAUACUGAAUAAUGCAUUUUUUUCAGGAAUGAAACAAACCUUUUCCCCCAACAAAACAUUGAGUGCCUCAGACACUGGAAUGGGUUUUUGACAGCUGAUCUUAUUUCAUCAAGUAAUAUGUCAUCAAAGCAACACAAUUCUAAUAGUGUCUUACACCAGUACAGAUGACAUGUUACACAAAUGUACUGACCCAGCAAUGCUGGCUCGAUGACCCCUUUGCACUAACAUAAGUUACCCAGCAGAUGCCUUUUCCAGCAUAUUGGGAUUUUCCUGCUUUGUUAAAGACAGAUAAUAGGGAGAAAAUUAUUUUCUUUGUGGCUGUAGUGUGUACCACUGCCUCUUCCAGGUGAUGCAAAUAAGCUGUGACUGAAGUAGUCUGAGAGGGAGUGUUAUGAAGUUAAGAAACUUAACGCUGCCUUUCUUGCUUUAACCAAGGGGACAGACCACUCUUCAGAAUUCUGUCCCAGUAGACAAAAGACAGACUUAAGAGUCUGCACUGAGAUAUCUGCCAUGGACUCUAUGUUCUCCAGUGGCCAAUUGUGAAGUCUAAACAGAAAUUGCCACACCCAGGCUUGAAAACUCAAGAGUGUGCUCCCAAGAGAAAAGUGCAGCAAUUUCUCAAGGCCUAUCUAUCACAGAGCUAUGGAAUAAAGACAGCCUGAACAGCCCCUAGCUGGGAAAAUUAUCAUCUGGGAAUCAUCUCCGUGUUCUUGAGAAGAAAGUCCUUGGGGCACAGAAUCUCCUCUGACUACGCUUGGUCCUUGACACUGUACUGAAAUAACACAAGCAUUACUAAUUCUGAAAACUUGUUCUGCACGAAACUAUCUGCAUGCUCCAAAUUUCCCUGUAUCAUGCACUGUCCCCUUUAAAAACCAACCAACCAACCAAAUAAAACAAAAAACAACAAAGGACAAGUCAUAAUAGCCCCAUUGUUCCCCCAUAGGUGCAAGGAACUAAAGUUUCAGAUGGUCACAGUUUUGGGGUAAUACCAGAUAUCCCUCACUGCACGGCACACAUUGCAAUGAGAACCUGCCAGUGCUUCAGACAACUCGAUCCAUUCUGGGAUUUUCAAAACUAGUAAAAGCACACAGAGAGGUUGACAGAUACAUUUGCUGUGUAAUAUUGGCUCUGCAAUGCUAAUAUUGGCUGUUGCCUGACAUUCUAUAUAGCAACAUUUAUAUAACCAAAGUCCCUAUCAUUUCUAAGUUAUCUGAUGCACCAUGAAAUUUCAAGGCAGUGAUUCCAUUUUCUUUGCUGAUCAACUUAAAGCUCAUGAUGAAUCAAGUAAUAUCAAAGAAGAUAAAUUAUGCAGCUGUUUAUUUACAGUUUAC